GCAUUGACGACCUUUGAGGAGUCAAGUGGAUGUGUCCAAUCAUGUGAGAGGAUGCGCACUCACUUUCCGAGUAGGCCCCGGGCAUGUGCCACACGAAUGAUUGCCUUAUCGGGUAGUCAAGUGGAAAUAUUUUACAUACGUAGAAAACCUUUUCUAGUGGAAAAUAUUUUAGAUACGUAGAAAACCUUAUACCUAUACUUAAGCCUGGAAAAUCCAAGGGCCAAACCGAUCGGGCCUUACAAGCUCAUAUAGGCCGAGCCUUAAAAGGCCUUCCCGAAGAAUGGGCAGGAUCAGAUCGGGCCAUCUCCAUAAAAGGGCUGACCUGUGAACGUGGCCCAUAAUCGAUCCUUGAGUCAAUUGGAAGGGCUGAGCCCGUGGAUCGCAGGAAAGGGGCUCUCCUCUUUUUCGCGGCCUCUCCAGGCUCGUGCGGCGGCGGCGGCGGCGCAAGAACUCAAGAUCCGGGCGGUGCGGGGGUGCGAGGCGCUCCCGUGGGGCCGGCCCCCGGCGGGCUCCGGCAGGGCGUGCGGCUAGGCCGACGCGCGGCGGCCAGCAAGAGCAGGCGGCCUCAGCAGCGGACGCAGGUGGCGUCGGCGUGCAGGCUCUUUUGUUCACUUGGAAGAUACUAGGCCGAAGGCUAAGAAGUUGUGUCAUCUAGGUGAUAUGGAUCUAGGACAAGAAGUUGUGGUUGAUGAAGUGGGAGUUGAUUGAACAGCUGUUUACCUUGACAUUAGACAAUGCUAGUGUGAAUAACAAAGCAGUAAAGGACAUUCGUGAUGCUUUAAGUGAGGCAACCAAAGCAUUCUCCGCAAACAGGCAUCCUACAGCCCACCUUUUCUUGAAGAUGUUGCUAGCAAUUCGAGAUGUUUUGCUCGAUGAGACGUGGAAUUCAUCAAGUUCUAUUUCUAUACCAUUGGUGAAAAUAUUGAAGUGAAAAUGAGGGAGCUGAAUCGGUAUUUGAAGAAAUAUUACCUAGAGUACUCUUGUCA
This is a long non-coding RNA of Setaria italica (foxtail millet), 986 nucleotides long. RefSeq lists it as uncharacterized. The transcript has 2 exons. The record is from RefSeq and is a predicted model, not a curated record. NCBI's taxonomy places the organism in Eukaryota, Viridiplantae, Streptophyta, Magnoliopsida, Poales, Poaceae.